This 301-nucleotide ribosomal RNA is filed under the name uncultured bacterium. Its description in RNAcentral is "partial 16S ribosomal RNA". It matches the Rfam family "Bacterial small subunit ribosomal RNA", at positions 509 to 807 of the family's 1533-position model. The record is from RNAcentral.
CAGUAGCCGCGGUAAUACGUAGGGUGCAAGCGUUAAUCGGAAUUACUGGGCGUAAAGCGUGCGCAGGCGGUUUGUUAAGACAGAUGUGAAAUCCCCGGGCUCAACCUGGGAACUGCAUUUGUGACUGGCAAGCUAGAGUGUGGCAGAGGGGGGUGGAAUUCCGCGUGUAGCAGUGAAAUGCGUAGAUAUGCGGAGGGACACCGAUGGCGAAGGCAGCCCCCUGGGCCAACACUGACGCUCAUGCACGAAAGCGUGGGGAGCAAACAGGAUUAGAUACCCCCGUAGUCCCUGUCUCUUAUAC